Molecule: long non-coding RNA, 243 nt
Filed under: Mustela putorius furo (domestic ferret)
Lineage: Eukaryota; Metazoa; Chordata; Mammalia; Carnivora; Mustelidae
Description: lncRNA (ENSMPUG00000026801.1)
Source: RNAcentral
CUGCCUGGAACACAGACAAGUAAAUGUUCAAACCUGGCAGCUGAUCCUGGGAAGGAGAGCUGAUUAAAUCUUCCCUGUUGAGAGGCACCUCUUUGAUUCGUAUGUGACACCUACAUCCUUCACCUCAGGAGACAAAGGCACCUUUGGGCUGCAGUGACACGGGAGAGCUAGAAUCAGAUUUGUUAUCGACAUUGCAGCCUUCAAUUUCAGUAAGAGGCUAAAUGUGUCUAUUCCAGCCACAGG